UAAGGGGGCUAGCGGAUGGAAGUGCUAGUCUAAGGUCGUAGGAGGUUAUACAGGCAAAUCCGUAUAACAAUACUCCGAGAACUGAAAGGCUUUUUGAAGUCUUCGGAUGGAUAGAAGAACCCCUGAUGCCGUCGAGCCAAGAAAAGUUUCUAAGUUUAGCUAAUGUUGCCCGUACCGUAAACCGACACAGGUGGGUGGGAUGAGUAUUCUAAGGCGCGUGGAAGAACUCUCUUUAAGGAACUCUGCAAAAUAGCACCGUAUCUUCGGUAUAAGGUGUGGUUAGCUUCGUACUAGGAUUUACUCCGAAAGCGAAGAAACUUACAACAAAGAGUCCCUCCCGACUGUUUACCAAAAACACAGCACUCUGCUAACUCGUAAGAGGAUGUAUAGGGUGUGACGCCUGCCCGGUGCUCGAAGGUUAAUUGAUGGGGUUAGCAUUAGCGAAGCUCUUGAUCGAAGCCCGAGUAAACGGCGGCCGUAACUAUAACGGUCCUAAGGUAGCGAAAUUCCUUGUCGGUUAAAUACCGACCUGCAUGAAUGGCGUAACGAGAUGGGAGCUGUCUCAAAGAGGGAUCCAGUGAAAUUGUAGUGGAGGUGAAAAUUCCUCCUACCCGCGGCAAGACGGAAAGACCCCGUGGACCUUUACUACAGCUUGACACUGCUAUUUGGAUAAGAAUGUGCAGGAUAGGUGGGAGGCUUUGAGUAUAUGACGCCAGUUGUAUAGGAGCCAUUGUUGAGAUACCACUCUUUCUUAUUUGGGUAGCUAACCAGCUUGAGUUAUCCUCAAGUGGGACAAUGUCUGGUGGGUAGUUUGACUGGGGCGGUCGCCUCCCAAAUAAUAACGGAGGCUUACAAAGGUUGGCUCAGAACGGUUGGAAAUCGUUCAUAGAGUAUAAAGGUAUAAGCCAGCUUAACUGCAAGACAUACAAGUCAAGCAGAGACGAAAGUCGGUCUUAGUGAUCCGGUGGUUCUGUGUGGAAGGGCCAUCGCUCAAAGGAUAAAAGGUACCCCGGGGAUAACAGGCUGAUCUCCCCCAAGAGCUCACAUCGACGGGGAGGUUUGGCACCUCGAUGUCGGCUCAUCGCAUCCUGGGGCUGGAGCAGGUCCCAAGGGUAUGGCUGUUCGCCAUUUAAAGCGGUACGCGAGCUGGGUUCAGAACGUCGUGAGACAGUUCGGUCCCUAUCUGCCGUGGGCGUAAGAAGAUUGAAGAGAUUUGACCCUAGUACGAGAGGACCGGGUUGAACAAACCACUGGUGUAGCUGUUGUUCUGCCAAGAGCAUCGCAGCGUAGCUAAGUUUGGAAAGGAUAAACGCUGAAAGCAUCUAAGCGUGAAGCCAACUCUAAGAUGAAUCUUCUCUAAGCUCUCUAGAAGACUACUAGUUUGAUAGGCUGGGUGUGUAAUGGAUGAAAGUCCUUUAGCUGACCAGUACUAAUAGAGCGUUUGGCUUAUCUUUAAUAAAGCAU
Molecule: ribosomal RNA, 1464 nt
Filed under: Campylobacter jejuni
Lineage: Bacteria; Pseudomonadati; Campylobacterota; Epsilonproteobacteria; Campylobacterales; Campylobacteraceae
Description: partial 23S ribosomal RNA
Rfam family: Bacterial large subunit ribosomal RNA
Source: RNAcentral